GCAGUGCGUGGCCGAAUGGUUACGCUAUCCGCUUUGUAAGCGGAUGAUUCUGGGUUCGUUUCCAUCUGCUGCA
This 73-nucleotide transfer RNA is filed under the name Culex quinquefasciatus (southern house mosquito). RNAcentral's name for it is "tRNA-Thr". The record is from RNAcentral. Lineage: Eukaryota; Metazoa; Arthropoda; Insecta; Diptera; Culicidae.